CAAGUGAAACGUUAUUGAAGUUAUCCGAAGCGCGAACAUAAUUGACGAACGUAAUUUUAGACUAUCCACAGAUGAUCUCGUGUCUUGGAAUAGAACGAAGUACUUACAUCUACUACUACGCGUUUUCACCAUGGCAAAAUCAGACUUUUAAAUCGUCGACCACGUAACCUCGAAGGACACUCGUAACGGCGAUAAACGAAAGGAAAAGCAAUAUUCUAAUCGAGUUAAGCUUGUAUCCAACGUGAGUUUUCGUGACUUUUCCUCUCCCGCUAAAUGUUACAAUACUUCUCAAUUUCGGAAGAGUUCGAUUAAUCGGGAAGUAAAAAAGGAGAAAAGAAAAAUAAAAGGAAAAAGUAAAUAAAUAAAUAAAAAUAAAUU
Long non-coding RNA from Vespa mandarinia (Asian giant hornet), 378 nucleotides. Lineage: Eukaryota; Metazoa; Arthropoda; Insecta; Hymenoptera; Vespidae. The record is from RefSeq and is a predicted model, not a curated record.